AAACUCAAAGGAAUUGACGGACCGCCUUCAAAUGAAUAGACGGUGCCGGCUAAAACGAAUCGAUCAGGUGACAGUCCAUGAGGUAAUAGAAGCACCGGGCUAACUAACGUGACCAGACAGCCGCGGUGAUACGUAAGGUGCGAGCGUUGUCCGGAUUUAUUGGGCGUAAAGGGCUCGUAGGUGGUUGAUCGCGUCGGAAGUGUAAUCUUGGGGCUUAACCCUGAGCGUGCUUUCGAUACGGGUUGACUUGAGGAAGGUAGGGGAGAAUGGAAUUCCUGGUGGAGCGGUGGAAUGCGCAGAUAUCAGGAGGAACACCAGUGGCGAAGGCGGUUCUCUGGGCCUUUCCUGACGCUGAGGAGCGAAAGCGUGGGGAGCGAACAGGCUUAGAUACCCUGGUAGUCCACGCUGUAAACGGUGGGUACUAGGUGUGGGGUCCAUUCCACGGGUUCCGUGCCGUAGCUAACGCUUUAAGUACCCCGCCUGGGGAGUACGGCCGCAAGGCUAAAACUCAAA
This 513-nucleotide ribosomal RNA is filed under the name uncultured prokaryote. RNAcentral describes it as "bacterial SSU rRNA". It matches the Rfam family "Bacterial small subunit ribosomal RNA", at positions 378 to 905 of the family's 1533-position model. The record is from RNAcentral.